RNAcentral lists this ribosomal RNA (900 nucleotides) under Candidatus Phytoplasma citri. RNAcentral's name for it is "bacterial SSU rRNA". It matches the Rfam family "Bacterial small subunit ribosomal RNA", at positions 367 to 1257 of the family's 1533-position model. The record is from RNAcentral. Lineage: Bacteria; Bacillati; Mycoplasmatota; Mollicutes; Acholeplasmatales; Acholeplasmataceae.
GGCAAUGGAAGAAACUCUGACCGAGCAACGCCGCGUAAUGUCGAAAAAGUACUUUGAUAUGUAAAGUUCUUUUAUCAAGGAAGAAAAGCAAAAUGGCGAACCAUUUGUUUGCCGGUACUUGAUGAAUAAGCCCCGGCUAAUUAUGUGCCAGCAGCCGCGGAAAGUGUUAGACAUAAGGGGCAAGUGUUAUCCGGAAUUAUUGGGCGUUAAAAAGGGUGGCGUAGGCGGUCUAGUAAGUCAGUGGUGUAAUGGCAACGCUUAACGUUGUCCGGCUAUUGAAACUGCUAAACUUGAGUUAGAUAGAGGCGAGUGGAAUUCCAUGUGUAGCGGUAAAAUGCGUAAAUAUAUGGAGGAACACCAGAGGCGUAGGCGGCUCGCUGGGUCUUAACUGACGCUGAGGCACGAAAGCGUGGGGAGCAAACAGGAUUAGAUACCCUGGUAGUCCACGCCGUAAACGAUGAGUACUAAGUGUCGGGUUAAACCGGUACUGAAGUUAACACAUUAAGUACUCCGCCUGAGUAGUACGUACGCAAGUAUGAAACUUAAAGGAAUUGACGGGACUCCGCACAAGCGGUGGAUCAUGUUGUUUAAUUCGAAGAUACCCGAAAAACCUGUACCAGGUCUUACAUGUUUUUGCAAAAUGAUAGUAAUAUCGUGGAGGUUACCAGAAACACAGGUGGUGCAUGUUGUCGUCAGCUCGUGUCGUGAGAUGUUAGGUUAAGUCCUAAAACGAGCAAACCCUUAUCGUUAGUUGCCAGCACGUUACAAGAGGUAGGACUUUAACGAGAAACUGCCAAAUGAUAAAUUGGAGGAAGGUGAGGAUCACGUACAAUCAGCAUGCCCCUUAUGACCUGGGCUACAAACGUGAUACAAUGGCUGUUACAAAGAGUAGCUGAAACC